Molecule: non-coding RNA, 115 nt
Organism: Triticum aestivum (bread wheat)
Lineage: Eukaryota; Viridiplantae; Streptophyta; Magnoliopsida; Poales; Poaceae
Source: Rfam
UGCAUACUCUCUCCGUUCGGAAUUACUUGUCUUGGAAAUGGAUAUAUCUAGAACUAAAAUACGUCUAGAUACAUCCAUUUUCGCGACAAGUAAUUCUGAACGGAGGGAGUACAAA